UACGUAGGAGGCGAGCGUUGUCCGGAAUUACUGGGCGUAAAGCGCACGUAGGCGGAUAUUUAAGUCAGGGGUGAAAUCCCGGGGCUCAACCCCGGAACUGCCUUUGAUACUGGGUAUCUCGAGUCCGAGAGAGGUGAGUGGAAUUCCGAGUGUAGAGGUGAAAUUCGUAGAUAUUCGGAGGAACACCAGUGGCGAAGGCGGCUCACUGGCUCGGUACUGACGCUGAGGUGCGAAAGCGUGGGGAGCAAACAGG
RNAcentral lists this ribosomal RNA (253 nucleotides) under uncultured bacterium. RNAcentral's name for it is "partial 16S ribosomal RNA". It matches the Rfam family "Bacterial small subunit ribosomal RNA", at positions 524 to 776 of the family's 1533-position model. The record is from RNAcentral.